Molecule: ribosomal RNA, 426 nt
Filed under: Eutropis bibronii (seashore skink)
Lineage: Eukaryota; Metazoa; Chordata; Lepidosauria; Squamata; Scincidae
Description: partial 16S ribosomal RNA
Rfam family: Bacterial large subunit ribosomal RNA
Source: RNAcentral
GUAAUCACUUGUCUCCUAAAUAGAGACCUGUAUGAACGGCUAAAUGAGGACAAACCUGUCUCUUACAACCAAUCAGUGAAACUGAUCUACCAGUACAAAAGCUGGUAUAAACACAUAAGACGAGAAGACCCUGUGGAGCUUAAGACACAAUACUAAAACACCCUAGUAAAAUGUCUUGAGUUGGGGCGACUUCGGAAAAAAACAAAACUUCCGAGCAGGGGGCCACAAGCUCUCUCCAAGGCCAACAAGCCUAAGUAUAAAACUGACCCGGCAAGACCGAACAACGAACCAAGUUACCCCAGGGAUAACAGCGCAAUCUUCUUCAAGAGUCCAUAUCGACAAGAAGGUUUACGACCUCGAUGUUGGAUCAGGACACCCAGGUGGUGCAGCCGCUACCAAAGGUUCGUUUGUUCAACGAUUAACAGU